GUCACCGAUUCCCGUAUGAUCACUGAAGUUAAGCAACGUCGAGCCUGGUCAGAACCUAGAUGUGACCGCUUGGGAAUACCAGGUGCCGUAA
Acanthosepion pharaonis is the source of this 91-nucleotide non-coding RNA. The record is from the annotation of a GenBank genome assembly. Lineage: Eukaryota; Metazoa; Mollusca; Cephalopoda; Sepiida; Sepiidae.